UAACAAGAGACGUGAGAAUGACUGUCCCAUCCCAGCAGUCUCCUGAUAAUUAGCUGAGGAACUUCUGCUUGAAAGAAAAUUCUAAAAAGGGAAUUAACGUUACCUGCAAGCCCUGCAGAAGGUUUCCAACAUCUGCAGGAAGUUUAAUAGGAAGCUGUAAAGGGAAAACAAGCAGGAAGAAUGAAGAAUGGCUUGAAAUAAACCAGUAAAUUGUAAACACCACAGGCUUAUUAAGAAACAAUGCCCAGACUAUGAGC
This is a long non-coding RNA of Alligator sinensis (Chinese alligator), 257 nucleotides long. RefSeq lists it as uncharacterized. The transcript has 3 exons. NCBI's taxonomy places the organism in Eukaryota, Metazoa, Chordata, Crocodylia, Alligatoridae. The record is from RefSeq and is a predicted model, not a curated record.